CUCGGCAACGGAUAUCUCGGCUCUCGCAUCGAUGAAGAACGYAGCGAAAUGCGAUACUUGGUGUGAAUUGCAGAAUCCCGUGAACCAUCGAGUCUUUGAACGCAAGUUGCGCCCGAAGCCUUCGGGCCGAGGGCACGCCUGCCUGGGCGUCACGCAUCGCGUCGCCCCAUCUCCCCUGCUC
Molecule: ribosomal RNA, 181 nt
Filed under: Justicia patentiflora
Lineage: Eukaryota; Viridiplantae; Streptophyta; Magnoliopsida; Lamiales; Acanthaceae
Description: 5.8S ribosomal RNA
Rfam family: 5.8S ribosomal RNA (bases 1-152)
About the family: 5.8S ribosomal RNA (5.8S rRNA) is a component of the large subunit of the eukaryotic ribosome. It is transcribed by RNA polymerase I as part of the 45S precursor that also contains 18S and 28S rRNA. Functionally, it is thought that 5.8S rRNA may be involved in ribosome translocation.
Source: RNAcentral